UACGGAGGGGGUUAGCGUUGUUCGGAAUUACUGGGCGUAAGCGCGCGUAGGCGGAUUAGAAAGUUGGGGGUGAAAUCCCGGGGCUCAACCCCGGAACUGCCUCCAAAACUACUAGUCUAGAGUUCGAGAGAGGUGUGUGGAAUUCCGAGUGUAGAGGUGAAAUUCGUAGAUAUUCGGAGGAACACCAGUGGCGAAGGCGGCUCACUGGCUCGAUACUGACGCUGAGGUGCGAAAGUGUGGGGAGCAAACAGG
This 252-nucleotide ribosomal RNA is filed under the name uncultured bacterium. RNAcentral describes it as "partial 16S ribosomal RNA". It matches the Rfam family "Bacterial small subunit ribosomal RNA", at positions 524 to 776 of the family's 1533-position model. The record is from RNAcentral.